Molecule: long non-coding RNA, 298 nt
Organism: Corapipo altera (White-ruffed manakin)
Lineage: Eukaryota; Metazoa; Chordata; Aves; Passeriformes; Pipridae
Exons: 3
Source: RefSeq, a predicted model, not a curated record
AGGGCUGCAGACAAAACAGCAGGGGACUGAUUCCUAAGCUGUAUUCCUGACUUUUUCCCCACUGUCUGAUAAAACAUCAUUUAUCAUGAGAACAUUUGUUAAGUCAUGGAUUCCUCGGUGUCUGCAGAUUCUCAGGUUGCCUUGCAGAUCAUUCCAUGGAUACAACAGGCUUCUGACGUCUCAGAUUAUUUCCCAUUAUGAUUCUAUAAACCAGUGUAAAAAGGAACUUCCAGAAUACUUCAACUUUGCAAGUGAUGUCUUAGAUGAGUGGUCACAACUAGAAAAGGAUGGAAAAAAA